CCCACUGUAGCUCAGUUGGUAGAGCAUGGUGUUUUUGCAACGCCAGGGUUGUUGGUUCGAUUCCCACGGGGGGA
Salmo salar (Atlantic salmon) is the source of this 74-nucleotide non-coding RNA. The record is from Rfam. NCBI's taxonomy places the organism in Eukaryota, Metazoa, Chordata, Actinopteri, Salmoniformes, Salmonidae.